AAGCAAGCGACACGGGCUCCAUUGUGAGGUUUCUCUGUUGUCAUUGCAGCGAACCCUAGAGAGAGACUGCUCGCUCAGUGCAGGAUCCAGGCCCAGCCAAGCCCUGGCCAGAGGAUGGCCCAUCCAUGCGGUGAGAUCAAAACAUACGGCGGCGACACCAUUGAGCUAAAUCCUCGGCCCUGGAAUCUGAAUUCUGGCACACCUGCCCUGCCUGAAUACGGGAGCUCUAAGGCUGGCCUGCACCUGCAGGUCCUAGUGGAGACUGGUUUGUCAGCCACACAGAGCUUCUCCCACAUUGGCAGGCCCUGGCCCACCAACCGGCAUUGCUUCUCCUUCCCUCCUCCCCUCCUCCCCUCCUCCUCUCCCCGCUGCCUCUUCCUCAUGGUUGGAUUUCUUUGUGAUGAAGCCUGGAGUCCCUG
RNAcentral lists this long non-coding RNA (419 nucleotides) under Fukomys damarensis (Damara mole-rat). RNAcentral describes it as "lncRNA (ENSFDAG00000025103.1)". The record is from RNAcentral. Lineage: Eukaryota; Metazoa; Chordata; Mammalia; Rodentia; Bathyergidae.